GGUAUUGCCUUGUAACGGGCGUGAAGCGGCAACAGAAAUUUGAAAUCUGCCCCUCGGGGUCCGAGUUGUAAUUUGUAGAGAGUGCGGGGGAGACUGCGAGCUAAGUCCAUUGGAACAUGGUGUCAUAGAGGGUGAGAAUCCCGUAUGUGACCGCGGAUCGAACCCAUGUGAAGCCUCUUCGACGAGUCGAGUUGUUUGGGAAUGCAGCUCAAAAUGGGUGGUAAAUUUCAUCUAAAGCUAAAUAUUGGCUGGAGACCGAUAGCGCACAAGUAGAGUGAUCGAAAGAUGAAAAGCACUUUGGAAAGAGAGUUAAACAGUACGUGAAAUUGUUGAAAGGGAAGCGCUGGCAACCAGACCUGCCCGUAGGCGAUCAGCCGCUGUUCUCAGCGGUGCACUCGCUCUGCGAUCAGGCCAGCAUCGGUUUCGGCGGUCGGAUAAAGGCCUUGGGAAUGUAGCUCCUUUUCGGGGGAGUUUUAUAGCCCUCGGUGCAAUGCGGCCAGCCGGGACCGAGGACCGCGCUUCGGCUAGGAUGCUGGCGUAAUGGUUGUCAGCGACCCGUCUUGAAACACGGACCAAGGAGUCUAACAUCUAUGCGAGUGUUUGGGUGUUAAACCCAUGCGCGGAAUGAAAGUGAACGGAGGUGAGAACCCUUAAGGGCGCAUCAUCGACCGAUCCAGA
Molecule: ribosomal RNA, 678 nt
Filed under: Parmotrema pseudotinctorum
Lineage: Eukaryota; Fungi; Ascomycota; Lecanoromycetes; Lecanorales; Parmeliaceae
Description: partial 28S ribosomal RNA
Rfam family: Eukaryotic large subunit ribosomal RNA
Source: RNAcentral